AAUUCUCUAUUCAGUUUAUGGUAAUAAUUGAUGAAAUGACUCUGGCACGCAAGAAGUCUGUUGACACCUGUGUUUUUUUAUUUAGGUUAAUCAGACCUUGUUUGAGAAGUUUGGGGUGAAGCAUCGCAUCACGUCGGCAUAUCAUCCCCAGACUUAUGGACUGGACAAGCGGACCAACCAGACCCUGAAGAGGGCCAUUGGCAAGACCCUUGAUGGGCACCAAAGAGAGGUGGGAGGACAAACUUAAAGACAUUGUGUUUGCCCAUAACUCGUGUCCAUGCCUCCACUAGGUACUCGCCUUAUCACCUGAUGUAUGGACAGGAGCCACGACUGUUGUCAGAGAUUACGGGAAACGUUCCUGAGGUGGAAGUUGCUGAUCCAGAUGAGGGUGAUCUGGAGAAGUACAUUCAGGCAGGGGCUGAGAAAGAUGGAGAGGCUUUUGACAAGGUGAGAGCCAAUGUCGAGAAGGCCCAGGAGAGACAGAAGGAGGCCUACCGAAGGAGGACAAAAAAGGGGACCAAGUGCUUCAAGAUCUCCCCAGGCAUGGAGGUCCUGACGAAGGACAGCAGGAAGCGUGGAAGGCCUGGGCGCACGAUGGACCCUGAUUGGCCAACCAAAUAUAGGUUGGGGACAACAACCUGGUGCAGCUGGAGACCAUGGAUGGCAAGCCGCUGAAAACAAGAACACCCUAUGGCUCAGUGAAGCCCCUAUGUAUGAGUACGUCAACUGCAUGUUAAUCUGUCAACAAAAGUUUAAAAGCCACGGUAUUGCAGGUUCAUUAAAUUAUUUUAAAUUCUUCAUGUAGGAUCACCAGCUGGCUGACCAACUAUUGAAACUGUGUCCCCUCCAACCGAGUCAGUGCAUUCAGAUGACCCCGAAUUGCACAACUUUGAGUUAGAGGAGGACCCACUUCAGGUGACAUGCACUGUACUCCAGGACUGUUGUGCAUCCUCUCCAGAGUCAGGACAUUUA
This is a long non-coding RNA of Anguilla rostrata (American eel), 972 nucleotides long. RefSeq lists it as uncharacterized. The record is from RefSeq and is a predicted model, not a curated record. The transcript is spliced from 5 exons. Lineage: Eukaryota; Metazoa; Chordata; Actinopteri; Anguilliformes; Anguillidae.